This 301-nucleotide ribosomal RNA is filed under the name uncultured bacterium. RNAcentral's name for it is "partial 16S ribosomal RNA". It matches the Rfam family "Bacterial small subunit ribosomal RNA", at positions 509 to 807 of the family's 1533-position model. The record is from RNAcentral.
CAGUAGCCACGGGAAUACGAAGGGGGCUAGCGUUGUUCGGAUUUACUGGGCGUAAAGGGCGCGUAGGCGGACUGAUAAGUCGGGGGUGAAAUCCCAAGGCUCAACCUUGGAACUGCCUUUGAUACUGUUUGUCUUGAGUUCGAGAGAGGUAAGUGGAACUGCGAGUGUAGAGGUGAAAUUCGUAGAUAUUCGCAAGAACACCAGUGGCGAAGGCGACUCUCUGGUCUGUAACUGACGCUGAGGAGCGAAAGCGUGGGGAGCGAACAGGAUUAGAUACCCCCGUAGUCCCUGUCUCUUAUAC